CACCUCUCCAUCCUUUGUCCCCCACCACUGCAUCCCCUGCCCCACUUGGUGUGCUAGAAACCUGGGUUCAUGGCAGGUGCAGAGGCAGCCAGGUCAGAUGCUGCUCCCCCUGCAUCUGCCCUGGCACAGAGCAAGGCCUGAGCUUCAUCCACCCAUGGCUGGGCCCUAUCACAGAAAUGUCUCAGUGCUAGCAUGGUCUCUGGCUGUUUUGUUUUUUGCAGGCAACCAGAGCACUGUGGGAGAUCAUUCACCUGCCCCAGUGCCCAGAGAUAUUGAUUAUGUAUUUCCCACGCCUCUUUGUGGCUCUGCUCUUCCAAGUUUUCUCCAGCACAGACCAGCUGCCAGUGGAGGUCAAAGCCUUCUGGAGGCGAUGCCAGCACAAGCACUGCCUGCCCAGCAACCCCACCAGAUUUGCAUUGGUGACCCUGAAAGCGCUGCUCUGUCACCUUGAUUAUGAGGAUGUGGUGUCUGGAGUUGAACGUGAGUGUGGUUGGGACACACUCCUCAACCCUGACACCCACCACAAUACAAUGGGUCUUCUGGCCAGGUGAGAGCCCCACUCUCCCUGCUCCAGCUGUUACUUCUUCACAGUAUGUACAUAAUCCCUGUGGUCAUGAGUGAGGGGGACUUUGUCACGGAUGGAUGGUGCGGCAGAGUGACAAAGCCUUGAAGGGCUUGGGUGCAUUGGAGCACCCACAACCCAAAAUGCCAGUGUGUCUGCACUGAUGGCACAAAGCAGGAGUUCUGUCUGCAGGCAGCCUCACUAAGGACAGCCUGCUGGGUACAGGGAAUUUGCAUCAUGGGCUACUCAGCCUGGGCGACAAGACUGGCCCGUGGGCAGAAUGGGUGGGUUUUCAGCCUCUUCAUUCCUGAAAUGAGCCUGCUGAUGUUCACCUUCCUCCUUGCAAGAGGCAGUGGUGAAAUAUGAGACCUCUGUGAGUCAGUUGCAGGAGAGGUCUGCCUGCCCUGCUCAUAGUUGAAGAUGUCUUUUUCCCCUGCCAGAACAAUGCUCAGGAUCUCACAGUCCUCUUGUUACCGGAUUGCACGCUACCUGUUCAGG
This 1060-nucleotide long non-coding RNA is filed under the name Parus major (Great Tit). RNAcentral's name for it is "lncRNA (ENSPMJG00000005753.1)". Lineage: Eukaryota; Metazoa; Chordata; Aves; Passeriformes; Paridae. The record is from RNAcentral.